RNAcentral lists this transfer RNA (63 nucleotides) under Mesobuthus eupeus (lesser Asian scorpion). RNAcentral describes it as "tRNA-Lys". The record is from RNAcentral. Lineage: Eukaryota; Metazoa; Arthropoda; Arachnida; Scorpiones; Buthidae.
AACUAGGUGGCUGAGAGAAAAGCGUUGGUCUCUUAAAUCAAUUUACGGUUGAACCUCUAGUUG